RNAcentral lists this ribosomal RNA (1924 nucleotides) under human gut metagenome. RNAcentral describes it as "bacterial LSU rRNA". It matches the Rfam family "Bacterial large subunit ribosomal RNA", at positions 3 to 1973 of the family's 2925-position model. The record is from RNAcentral.
UCAAGCGACUAAGUGCAUGUGGUGGAUGCCUUGGCGAUCACAGGCGAUGAAGGACGCGGCAGUCUGCGAAAAGCCCCGGGGAGCUGACAACGAGCUUUGAUCCGGGGAUCUCCGAAUGAGGGAACUCCAAGCUUUAGCUUGAUCCAUGCGUGAAUACAUAGCGCAUGGAGGCGAACGCGGCGAACUGAAACAUCUCAGUAGCUGCAGGAAAAGAAAUCAACCGAGAUUCCGGAAGUAGCGGCGAGCGAAACCGGAACAGCCUGAAUUCGAUAUUGAGAAGAACACUGGAAGAGUCUGGAAAGGCUCGCCAUAGUGGGUGAUAGCCCCGUACGGGACGUUCAUCUCAAGGUACUGAGGAUUCGAAAAGUAGGUCGGGGCACGUGAAACCCUGGCUGAACAUGGGGGGACCAUCCUCCAAGGCUAAAUACUCGUGAUCGACCGAUAGCGUACUAGUACUGUGAAGGAAAGGUUAAAAGAACCCCGGGAGGGGAGUGAAAUAGAUUCUGAAACCGCAUGCAUACAAACAGUAGGAGCCCUUCGGGGUGACUGCGUACCUUUUGCAUAAUGGGUCAGCGACUUAUGUUAUGUGGCAAGCCUAACCGACUAGGGGAGGCGCAGCGAAAGCGAGUCCGAACAGGGCGAUUCAGUCGCAUGGCAUAGACCCGAAACCAGAUGAGCUAACCAUGGCCAGGCUGAAGGUGUGGUAACACACACUGGAGGGCCGAACCUACUGGUGUUGCAAAACCAGAGGAUGAGCUGUGGUUAGGGGUGAAAGGCUUAACAAAUCUGGAGAUAGCUGGUUCUCCCCGAAAACUAUUGAGGUAGUGCCUUGCGCAUGAGCUUCUGGGGGUAGAGCACUGUUAUAGCUAGGGGGACAUGGCGUCUUACCAAACUAUGGCAAACUCCGAAUACCAGAAAGCUUCGCGCAGGAGACAGAGCACCGGGUGCUAACGUCCGGACUCAAAAGGGAAUCAACCCAGACCGCCAGCUAAGGUCCCUAAUAUCAGCUAAGUGGAAAACGAAGUGGAAAGGCUAAAACAGUCAGGAAGUUGGCUUAGAAGCAGCCAUCCUUCAAAGAAAGCGUAAUAGCUCACUGAUCGAGUCCUUCCGCGCGGAAGAUGUAACGGGGCUAAGUUGAUAACCGAAGCUGCGGAUUCAUACUUUGAGUAUGAGUGGUAGGGGAGCGUUCUGUAAGCCUGCGAAGGUGGAUCGUAAGGUCUGCUGGAGGUAUCAGAAGUGCGAAUGCUGACAUGAGUAACGAUAAAGCGGGUGAAAAGCCCGCUCGCCGCAAACCCAAGGUUUCCUGCUCUACGUUAAUCGGAGCAGGGUGAGUCGGUUCCUAAGGCCAGGCUGAGAAGCGUAGCUGAUGGAAAUCAGGUUAAUAUUCCUGAACCGGCGUUGAAUGCGAUGGGGUGACGGAGCAGCCAGAGUGGACCGGGUGUUGGAUGUCCCGGCUUCCGAGCGAUGGGUGCCUGCAGGCAAAUCCGCAGGCGUAUACCCAGGACGAAGGAUCGGGUCUUCUUUUGAAGACGAAGCCACUGGAAGCGCUUCCAGGAAAAACCUCUAAGCUUCAGUUCAACGGCGACCGUACCGUAAACCGACACAGGUGGGUGAGCUGAAUAUGCUCAGGCGCUUGAGAGAACUCGGGAGAAGGAACUCGGCAAAUUGACACCGUAACUUCGGAAGAAGGUGUGCCUUUGUAGCUUGAUGGGAGAGAAACCCAAAGGGUGAAGAGGUCUCAGAGAAUCGGUGGCUGUAACUGUUUACUAAAAACACAGCGCUCUGCAAAGAUGAAAGUCGACGUAUAGGGCGUGAUGCCUGCCCGGUGCUGGAAGAUUAAUUGAUGGGGUGCAAGCUCCUGAUCGAAGUCCCAGUAAACGGCGGCCGUAACUAUAACGGUCCUAAGGUAGCGAAAUUCCUUGUC